AGAGUUUGAUCAUGGCUCAGGAUGAACGCUAGCGGCAGGCUUAACACAUGCAAGUCGAGGGGUAGGGCACUUCGGUGCUUGAGACCGGCGCACGGGUGCGUAACGCGUAUGCAAUCUGCCUUUCACAGAGGGAUAGCCCAGAGAAAUUUGGAUUAAUACCUCAUAGCAUUACGGGAUGGCAUCAUCCUGUAAUUAAAGUCACAACGGUGAAAGAUGAGCAUGCGUCCCAUUAGCUAGUUGGUAAGGUAACGGCUUACCAAGGCAACGAUGGGUAGGGGUCCUGAGAGGGAGAUCCCCCACACUGGUACUGAGACACGGACCAGACUCCUACGGGAGGCAGCAGUGAGGAAUAUUGGUCAAUGGGCGCAAGCCUGAACCAGCCAUGCCGCGUGCAGGAUGACGGUCCUAUGGAUUGUAAACUGCUUUUGUACGGGAAGAAACACUCCUUCGUGAAGGAGCUUGACGGUACCGUAAGAAUAAGGAUCGGCUAACUCCGUGCCAGCCGCCGCGGUAA
RNAcentral lists this ribosomal RNA (514 nucleotides) under uncultured Flavobacterium sp. Its description in RNAcentral is "bacterial SSU rRNA". It matches the Rfam family "Bacterial small subunit ribosomal RNA", at positions 8 to 523 of the family's 1533-position model. Lineage: Bacteria; Pseudomonadati; Bacteroidota; Flavobacteriia; Flavobacteriales; Flavobacteriaceae. The record is from RNAcentral.